ACUGUAAUCAUCCUCAUUAUUUUAAUAAGAAAUUUUUCUAUCUGUGAUGGAAGUUUUUAUGUACGAUUGCCUGAUCUGAAGACAAGACUUUCGCUGCAUGCAUAUUUAAUGUAUGACGUCACCCACACAGAGUGAGAGCUCGAGGUUUUCUUUGAAAGUUUGAUGGAAAAUGUACAGAGACUUGUCGCAGUUAAUGCAGUACCAAAUGCUUGCUUUCUUGGAGUAUGUGCUUGAAACAAGAAUGUCCUGGAGAAAACAGACCACCACAAGAGAAGGGAUUGAGAAGGAGGGCUUCCUGUUGACAGAUCAGGGGGUGCCUUGAGGUUCCACUUU
Molecule: long non-coding RNA, 333 nt
Organism: Strongylocentrotus purpuratus (purple sea urchin)
Lineage: Eukaryota; Metazoa; Echinodermata; Echinoidea; Camarodonta; Strongylocentrotidae
Exons: 3
Source: RefSeq, a predicted model, not a curated record